GACGAACGCUGGCGGCGUGCUUAACACAUGCAAGUCGAACGAAGUGGCGAACGGGUGAGUAACGCGUAAUCAACCUGCACUUCAGAGGGGGAUAACAGUUGGAAAAGCCUGAUAAUACCGCAUACUGAAGGAGGGGAUUGCGUCUGAUUAGCUAGUUGGCGGGUUCACGGACCACCAAGUCGAUGAUCAGUAGCCGGUCUGAGAGGAUGAACGGCCACAUUGGGACUGAGACACGGCCCAGACUCCUACGGGAGGCAGCAGUGGGGAAUCUUCCGCAAUGGACGAAAGUCUGACGGAGCAACGCCGCGUGAGUGAUGACGGCCUUCGGGUUGUAAAGCUCUGUUAAUCGGGACGCGGUACCGGAAUAGAAAGCCACGGCUAACUACGUGCCAGCCGCCGCGGUAAUUC
RNAcentral lists this ribosomal RNA (408 nucleotides) under uncultured bacterium. RNAcentral describes it as "partial 16S ribosomal RNA". It matches the Rfam family "Bacterial small subunit ribosomal RNA", at positions 28 to 526 of the family's 1533-position model. The record is from RNAcentral.